Columba livia (rock pigeon) is the source of this 4855-nucleotide long non-coding RNA. RefSeq lists it as uncharacterized. The record is from RefSeq and is a predicted model, not a curated record. Lineage: Eukaryota; Metazoa; Chordata; Aves; Columbiformes; Columbidae. The transcript is spliced from 2 exons.
GACACGGGCAGCGCUCUGCAGACCCCAGACCCGCACCGGCACCGUCCCACAGCCACCCCGCUGAUGCACCAGGAAUGAGUUCCUGGGAAAAGUGGAAAACUUUGCAACGUUUCCUCUCCUCUGCAGUACGGCAGGCUCUUUCCAGGACACUGGAGAUGCUGCCCAGCUCCUGCCGGGUGUUCAGGACAGUCUUGCAAGGCUCAGAUCCAGCUUCCAGUCCACAACCUGAAGCGCUCAGGCUCAGAGCAGCAGGGAUGCUCUGCACAGGGAGGAACGGGACAGUUUCCUUGUGACCAGCACCCAGCACACCAGCCCCUCCUUGCUCACAGCCAAACCACCACCCAGGAACCUGCCACAGGAUCCCUCACUGAUGGAGAAAAAGUGCACAGACCCAGAAACGGGAGCCUGGAGGGAGAGACAUCUCCCAGCCAUAGCACAGAGUGAGGGCACCAGCACGGUCCAGUAACUCUUCAAGGUCAGAAACAUCUGGCCAGGCUUCUUCCAGCACAUCCUGUCACACUAGGUGAGAUCAGGGAUGAGUUAACUAUGAACAAACAUCCCAAUCAUCCAUCUAUCCCUCGCCACAGCCCCAGAAGCCCUGGCAAUGCUUGAGCACCGCAGGUAAAUGGUGUUAAAUCACAGUCCUGGACAACCAGGAAGCAGCACACAGGUGGGGUGGCCACUGCCCAGGGAUACAUGGUCAUUUCUAAGGCACUUCAAUAUGUUCCUCCCUCCAGGCUUAGAAAAAACUCUUCCUGUCAUUUAUUCAGCUGAAUCCAUUUGCUGACAUUCUCAGUGACUUUCAUCUUGCCACCCAUCAAAAUUAAAGCUUUAUCGCAGUCAAUUUACUAUCCCAGUCAAUUUACUUGCCCCUGAAGUAAAAUACAGCCUGCGACUGCAUGUUUCAGUGCACAGCAUCCCCAGCUACCCAGCAUAUCCCACACCACAGGACACACAAAACCAAGCAGUUCUACUGAUGGAACACGCAAACAACCCACCCUGCAGUCCCAGCUCUGCAGAACCUCUGUUAACACGAGCAGAGCGUGCACAACCCAGCCCUGCCAUGUCCUUCCCUCCUUCACCACUCAUCCCGCAACAGCAUUGAGACCACGACUUGUGCUGUUUCUCUCUGGCACUGCUGAGCCUGCAGCUCUCCCCAGCACACACAGCAGUGGUGAGUGGUGUUUAUAUGUCACCUCGUCUCUUAGGAGCUCCCCAGGGUCACACGAAGCCUCCCCUCUCCAGGUCUGUAUUGCAAAAUGCUCUUAAGAGGCAAAAGGAAAGACAAACAGGACAGCAGCAAAAAGCACCGUCUCUCUAAAGCAGGCAGUCUCACAGGUUUGGGUAAAAGAAUCCCACUAGGUAGGGUUUUUCCAAAUUAAAAAUAAUAACAAUACUAACAGAAAAGGUAAAGAAGAAUCUCUGUGGGACUCUGGGACUCCCCCACAUCCUCCUCCCAGAGUCUCACUGUUUGUAAAAAUCACUCUUAACUCCCAAACCCAGCAGAACCACGUCUGCUCCACCCUGCAGCACAAGGCACCAGCAGGGAGCCCCGAGGUCGAUCAUGAUCCCGCAGGAGCUGGGUGGGCAUCACCAACAUCCCGCAAAGGGCAUGCGGGAGGCACAGCCCCUCAAGUCCUCCAAGAGCCACCUGGUUCAGGGGUGACAACCAGGCACCUGCACAGCCACGAUCCAUCCUUCACCCAGCAGACAGAGCAGCGCUGCAAACCAAGUGGAGAAAUCACCUGAGCACUCCUGCGUGAGCCCCAGCUGCUCCAUGGCUCCCACGCGGGACGGUCACUCUCUCCAGCAAUGUCAAGCACCAGUGUCCUGUGCUCAAGCUGCGAUUCAGCUGCCACGAGCCUUUGACCUUGGCACCACUGUAAAGGAGAAGGGGAAAAAAAAACCCAAAACCAGUAUAUAAAUGAUCCAAGCAAGCAGAGCUCCACUGCUGGGAAGUUACAAAUUAAAUUGCAUGCUGGAAAGAGAUAGUGGUGAUGCAUGCAACAGCCUCUUUCUCUACUGGCUCCCAACAGCGAGGUGCCAACUCUUUCUAACUUCCCUCUUAACAUUCAAACCCCCGGGGACUGACCUUAACCUGCAUUUCUAUUAGAGUCUCCAGCAAACUGCACAUUCAGCUGGUUGGCUCGGGAGUUAAUGACUUUCUUUUAAAAUUUAACACAGUUCUCCAUCACAAAUUUCAGUUUGCCAGCACUAGGAUCUGCCUUUGGCUGGGUAUUCAAAUCUAAACAUGUGCUUAGACAGUUAUUCCAGGCAAAAGGGUAACAUGCAAACAGAAAAUCCAUGAGAUUGAAGCUGGCUUUGAAAUUAGAGAAAUUAAAUCAGACAGGGAAAAAUUACUUCCAUGGUAAGAGGAUUGGAACAGAAAGGGUUAGUGCUAUUUCUGGGCAAUCCUGCGGGCAGAUUUCUGGGAUUAGCAAAGCCUGACACACAGGGCAGACACACAAACCCCAGCACUUCCCCAGGAGUGGGGCUGCUGCAGCCCCUCAUCCCCAGGGUCCACAGCAGCAUCGAGCUCCUGUCCCCAACACCACCCCUGCAGCAAGCACAGCUGAGCAGUUCCCUGAAAAACACCAGUGAGGAACCCAACAGAGACACAAAUGGGCUGAUUACUGAAGUAUUUUACACUCCGGGACCAAAGAAAGGUUUUCUCUGCUCCAAGGGUAUCUUUGGAAACAUCACAUCUGCUCUGCUCGCAUCCCAGAGUCUGCGCAGCCUGUCACAGCCCAAACGUGUGGGACACCCGUGGCUGCACCCGCAGCAGCACGUCCCUCGCUGCUGCAGCGCUGGCUGCUCGCAGCACGACCUGUCACGACAGAGGCACUUGGGGCUUAGUGCUCCUGCAAAAUCGCACCUCCCAGCAGGGAACGAACGCUGCACUGGGUGUGAUUCUGCAUCACUGAACCGGCACUGACCCAAUGCUGGCAAAUGCCUCGUGAGCUGCUCCUGCCCAAAGCACAAAGCCAUCCAUUCGCUCCUCAGCAUCUCCCGCAGCCAGCACAGGAUCCCAACCCAGCACUCAGCUCAGCAUCAGAGUCCCUGCAGUGUUCCAGGUUUUAUAAGAACCCCGCAUUUUCACUCUUCCCAACGUGUUUCACAUUUUUCACCCAUAGCUUUGGGUAACAAACUUUUUUGGCUGAGCACUUUUCUAAACCCAGCUCUCACUGCUCCUUCCUCAAAAAAAUAAACAGUUUGAACGUGCAAAGGGACUAAUCCACGCUGAUCCUCGGCUUUACACUGGUGAGGUGUUGCCAUAAGGACUCAAGAUGCGGGUGGCUUGAGGCACAGCAAGUAUUUGCAGGGAAAGCAGAGGAUCCACAACAAAUUCCACGCGAGCAGGAGCUGUUACAAACCUCCUCAGCUGCCCACAAGGAAUGCAAGCACAGAACAGCCUGUGUGCACAGCUACUUGUUGCUGUGCCAAUCCCAUCUUUCAGCAGGGCCAAGCUUGCUGGACUCUGAAAAAGGUUCAUCUUGUCCCUCACCCCUUUCUAUUGCUAAGGCUAAAUUGGCUGAAAUUGUUCAGACUAAAGGCAGCUACAGCUUGGCUGUGGUUUGUGUUAGUUACUCCAUAAAUCAGCCCCUCUCCGGGAGGCAGAACACAGGGAAACUGCUGAGAGCCAGCAGCUCUUCUUUUAUUUUCAAAUCUCAAAGAUCUUCACCUCACUGGAACAUCCUGAGGCCACAGAAGCUGCCCCGCUGCUUCCCCGCCUGCCCUGCAGCUGGUAAGGGAGACACCCCGGGUUAAUCCCGAGGGAUCCCUGUGAAGCACACCAGUGCUUCCAGUACAAAACUCGCGGGGCUGCCAAACCUCCCCCUGCCUCCCUCCCCAGCGUGGAACAGCAGACAGAGAAGGUACCGGUGAUCAUCGGGAACACAGCCUUCUGGUGUGGAUCGGCCUGUGCUGAGAGGAGGUCCUGACCCACAGCACAACGGCUCACCAGAAACUAUUCUCAUAUUUGUAAUUCUUUUUCCCAUUUGCCAUUUUUAGCCUGCAGAACAGCAGUAGGUUAGGCACACACCUCAUUUAGGAACAUUGCACAAACACUGCACAAUCUUACCACGCCAAGGCUCGGCACUUCUUUGAAGCGGUGGGACUUUCACAACUGAGAUGUUUAACACAUACUCGUUCUCCAGCCUUAAUGUGGAUAAAAAGCCAGCUAAUUACAACAGUACAUAACUUCACAGCACCAUCCUGCCCCAUACAUUCUGAACCCUCAAUUACAUCAGCAAAAAGCAGCACCAUGGGACAUCCCAGGUCUCUUGGGGAACAUCUGACAUCUCAGCAUCCAGUUCUGCAGCAGCCGUGGGGUUGAACAGCUCACCAAGAAGGCAAACUGGGCCAAGCAGCAACGUACUCAAAAAAUAAAUACAGUGGAAGCACGGCAAAAACUUCAACAGCAAGCAGUGAGGUGCAGCUAUCCUGGACAAGACAACCCAGUGCCACAGGUCACUGGUGCAGCUGCUGCCACCUGGAACCUGCUCUGCAGACACUGGGGUUUCCUGAUGCUGAGUCUCGGCUCCCAGCCCCUCGCCGCCGUUACCCCGGCACCGCUUCCUGCGCAAAAGUCAGGCUUUUGAUACUUUUUAUGUCUAUUUUGGACCAACUUGACAAGCAGGUUUCCACUGUCUGAACAGUAACGCUGCUUCGAAGCGGCUGCCUCAGAAAACUGGACACUCAAAGCUCACACACGGAGAGGGUGCAACUAGACACUUCAAGAGGGACAUUCUUCUGAGCCCACAGUGCUGCUGUGGAUUACUGGAUUUUGACAAAUGCUAAGUAGAAAGUCACUGUUAACUUAUUUUGAUGCAAUAAAAAUAAUACAAUAAGCUAA